GAAUCUGGAGACAGGUGCUGCAUGGCUGUCGUCAGCUCGUGUCGUGAGAUGUUGGGUUAAGUCCCGCAACGAGCGCAACCCUUGCCUUUAGUUGCCAGCAGUUCGGCUGGGCACUCUAAAGGGACUGCCGGUGUUAAACCGGAGGAAGGUGGGGAUGACGUCAAGUCCUCAUGGCCUUUAUGACCAGGGCUACACACGUACUACAAUGGCCGAUACAAAGGCAGCGACACUGCGAGGUGAAGCCAACUCCCGUAAAAUCGGUCUCAGUCCGGAUUGGAGUCUGCAACUCGACUCCAUGAAGUUGGAAUCGCUAGUAAUCGUGGAUCAGCAUGCCACGGUGAAUACGUUCCCGGGCCUU
RNAcentral lists this ribosomal RNA (358 nucleotides) under uncultured Desulfobulbus sp. RNAcentral's name for it is "bacterial SSU rRNA". It matches the Rfam family "Bacterial small subunit ribosomal RNA", at positions 1024 to 1382 of the family's 1533-position model. The record is from RNAcentral. Lineage: Bacteria; Pseudomonadati; Thermodesulfobacteriota; Desulfobulbia; Desulfobulbales; Desulfobulbaceae.